UACCAGCACCCCGAGUGGUCGGGACGAUUAUUGGGCCUAAAGCAUCCGUAGCCGGUUUUACAAGUCCUCCGUUAAAUCCAACUGCUUAACAGAUGGGCCGCGGAGGAUACUACAAGACUAGGAGGCAGGAGAGGAAAGCGGUACUCAGUGGGUGGGGGUAAAAUCCGUUGAUCCAUUGAAGACCACCAGUGGCGAAGGCGGCUUGCCAGAAUGCGCUCGACGGUGAGGGAUGAAAGCUGGGGGAGCAAACCGG
RNAcentral lists this ribosomal RNA (253 nucleotides) under uncultured bacterium. Its description in RNAcentral is "partial 16S ribosomal RNA". It matches the Rfam family "Archaeal small subunit ribosomal RNA", at positions 474 to 727 of the family's 1478-position model. The record is from RNAcentral.